ACGCCAGAUAACAAAGGUCGUGUGUGCGAUCGGCAUCGCUGUGGCGCGCCCGUGCCAUGCGCGCGGCCACGUCGCACGCCCACGCCGUCAUUUCGUCGCGACGGUCACGCCAAAACGACUUGGUGUCGUCAGUGGCGCUGAUGGUGGCGAUGCACAGCGCCUGCACGGGGUGAACACAGACGCGGUCGACCAGACACUCGGUGACUGGCAAGGCGAGGACGGUCUCGACCAGCGCCACGCCGUCGACAUCGGGCAACCGCCGAACGGCCCUCCACGUGCUGUCCUGAUCGCGGUACGAGCCCGGAUCGUAGACGCACAGGUCCCAGCGUCGCGUGGCGGCCCACAGCGCGGCCCACACCAGCGACCCUAUACCGGCGUUUCCCGCCGGGGCGCCCGCCGCGGCCAGGGCCUGCGCGCAAUGGACGGCGCCGCACCCGAUGGCGAACGGCAAGAGUCCCUGCGCCGGCGGUACGUGCGGCGCGUAAAAGGGCUGCGUGGGGCGUGGCGCAUCGAACCGCGUCGGCCGAUCGAGGCCCGUGAGGCGCGCGCAGCCUUUGGCCUCGAUCGUGGGCCGGUACGUGACGGGCGCGGCGAGAUCGAACGCGGGCAGCGCAUCCAAGAGCAGCGCGAGUCGUCGCGGCUUGUCCAAAGCCACGGCCGAGUAAACGGCGGCGCGCGCGACGUCGGCGGGGUCGCACCCCGGCAUGCGCACAGACACCAGCGACGCGGCCCACGAUUUGGCCACGGUUUCCAUGGCGUCGGCUCCGACACGCGCCCACUCGCGGCAGACCAGGCGCGCGCUGGCCACUGUCGUCGCGCAAUCGCACGCAACGAGGACGAGCAGGGUCAACUCGUCGGGCAGAGUCAACCACGGAGCCGCAAGAGGACGACAACUCGCCCCGCCAACCAACAAGCAUGGCGUCGUCAUCGGCGCCGCCGUGUCGCAACCAGCGCCACUGUUCUUUUUUUUUGCUUUUAUUUACAAUAUCUCUGGCUUUUGGCCGCCCGCCCUCAGCCUUUUGCUUUUUUCCUUCCUUUUCGACGUGUCCUUUUUUGAUCGGCGGACAAAAGGGAGAGCGCGCGCUCAAC
RNAcentral lists this long non-coding RNA (1089 nucleotides) under Pandoravirus neocaledonia. Its description in RNAcentral is "hypothetical ncRNA". The record is from RNAcentral.